RNAcentral lists this ribosomal RNA (2424 nucleotides) under Enterobacter cloacae. RNAcentral's name for it is "bacterial LSU rRNA". The stretch from base 1 to 1553 matches the Rfam family "Bacterial large subunit ribosomal RNA". The record is from RNAcentral. Lineage: Bacteria; Pseudomonadati; Pseudomonadota; Gammaproteobacteria; Enterobacterales; Enterobacteriaceae.
UUAAGCGACUAAGCGUACACGGUGGAUGCCCUGGCAGUCAGAGGCGAUGAAGGACGUGCUAAUCUGCGAAAAGCGCCGGCGAGGUGAUAUGAACCCUUGACCCGGCGAUGUCCGAAUGGGGAAACCCAGUGUGUUCCGACACACUAUCGUUAACUGAAUACAUAGGUUAACGAGGCGAACCGGGGGAACUGAAACAUCUAAGUACCCCGAGGAAAAGAAAUCAACCGAGAUUCCCCCAGUAGCGGCGAGCGAACGGGGAGCAGCCCGGAGUCUGAAUCAGCUUGUGUGUUAGUGGAACGGUCUGGAAAGUCCGACGGUACAGGGUGAUAGUCCCGUACACGAAAAUGCACAGGUUGUGAACUCGAAGAGUAGGGCGGGACACGUGGUAUCCUGUCUGAAUAUGGGGGGACCAUCCUCCAAGGCUAAAUACUCCUGACUGACCGAUAGUGAACCAGUACCGUGAGGGAAAGGCGAAAAGAACCCCGGCGAGGGGAGUGAAAAAGAACCUGAAACCGUGUACGUACAAGCAGUGGGAGCACCUUCGGGUGUGACUGCGUACCUUUUGUAUAAUGGGUCAGCGACUUAUAUUCUGUAGCAAGGUUAACCGUAUAGGGGAGCCGAAGGGAAACCGAGUCUUAACUGGGCGUUAAGUUGCAGGGUAUAGACCCGAAACCCGGUGAUCUAGCCAUGGGCAGGUUGAAGGUUGGGUAACACUAACUGGAGGACCGAACCGACUAAUGUUGAAAAAUUAGCGGAUGACCUGUGGCUGGGGGUGAAAGGCCAAUCAAACCGGGAGAUAGCUGGUUCUCCCCGAAAGCUAUUUAGGUAGCGCCUCGUGAACUCAUCUUCGGGGGUAGAGCACUGUUUCGGCUAGGGGGCCAUCCCGGCUUACCAACCCGAUGCAAACUACGAAUACCGAAGAAUGUUAUCACGGGAGACACACGGCGGGUGCUAACGUCCGUCGUGAAGAGGGAAACAACCCAGACCGCCAGCUAAGGUCCCAAAGUCAUGGUUAAGUGGGAAACGAUGUGGGAAGGCACAGACAGCCAGGAUGUUGGCUUAGAAGCAGCCAUCAUUUAAAGAAAGCGUAAUAGCUCACUGGUCGAGUCGGCCUGCGCGGAAGAUGUAACGGGGCUAAACCAUGCACCGAAGCUGCGGCAGCGACACUUAUGUGUUGUUGGGUAGGGGAGCGUUCUGUAAGCCGUUGAAGGUGUGCUGUGAGGCAUGCUGGAGGUAUCAGAAGUGCGAAUGCUGACAUAAGUAACGAUAAAGCGGGUGAAAAGCCCGCUCGCCGGAAGACCAAGGGUUCCUGUCCAACGUUAAUCGGGGCAGGGUGAGUCGACCCCUAAGGCGAGGCCGAAAGGCGUAGUCGAUGGGAAACAGGUUAAUAUUCCUGUACUUGNUGCGAAAGCGUGGGGAGCAAACAGGAUUAGAUACCCUGGUAGUCCACGCCGUAAACGAUGUCGACUUGGAGGUUGUGCCCUUGAGGCGUGGCUUCCGGAGCUAACGCGUUAAGUCGACCGCCUGGGGAGUACGGCCGCAAGGUUAAAACUCAAAUGAAUUGACGGGGGCCCGCACAAGCGGUGGAGCAUGUGGUUUAAUUCGAUGCAACGCGAAGAACCUUACCUACUCUUGACAUCCAGAGAACUUUCCAGAGAUGGAUUGGUGCCUUCGGGAACUCUGAGACAGGUGCUGCAUGGCUGUCGUCAGCUCGUGUUGUGAAAUGUUGGGUUAAGUCCCGCAACGAGCGCAACCCUUAUCCUUUGUUGCCAGCGGUUAGGCCGGGAACUCAAAGGAGACUGCCAGUGAUAAACUGGAGGAAGGUGGGGAUGACGUCAAGUCAUCAUGGCCCUUACGAGUAGGGCUACACACGUGCUACAAUGGCGCAUACAAAGAGAAGCGACCUCGCGAGAGCAAGCGGACCUCAUAAAGUGCGUCGUAGUCCGGAUUGGAGUCUGCAACUCGACUCCAUGAAGUCGGAAUCGCUAGUAAUCGUGGAUCAGAAUGCCACGGUGAAUACGUUCCCGGGCCUUGUACACACCGCCCGUCACACCAUGGGAGUGGGUUGCAAAAGAAGUAGGUAGCUUAACCUUCGGGAGGGCGCUUACCACUUUGUGAUUCAUGACUGGGGUGAAGUCGUAACAAGGUAACCGUAGGGGAACCUGCGGUUGGAUCACCUCCUUACCUUAAAGAACCUGCCUUUGUAGUGUCCACACAGAUUGUCUGAUGAAAAGUAAAUAGCAAGGCGUCUUGCGAUUGAGACUGUACGUCCCCUUCGUCUAGAGGCCCAGGACACCGCCCUUUCACGGCGGUAACAGGGGUUCGAAUCCCCUAGGGGACGCCACUUGCUGGUUCGUGAGUGAAAGUCACCUGCCGUCAUAUCUCAAAACUGACUUGCGAGUCACGUUUGAGAUAUUUGCUCUU